Sapajus apella (tufted capuchin) is the source of this 1744-nucleotide RNA transcript. It is a transcript of the gene named non-histone chromosomal protein HMG-17 pseudogene, with no coding region annotated. The transcript has a single exon. The record is from RefSeq and is a predicted model, not a curated record. NCBI's taxonomy places the organism in Eukaryota, Metazoa, Chordata, Mammalia, Primates, Cebidae.
GAAAUAAGACCUAUUCAUCAUUGUAGAAAAUGUGUCCUUCAUGGAUUGAUUAAAAAGCAAAAAAGAAGGAAGAAUUUGCUCCACAUUGACUAUACCUAUAAUUGAACUGGGGGUUCAAACAAGAGCUGCAAAAAAAGCCAGUUAAGCCCAAAACAGAUUUGUAGACACAUCACUUUUACCUGUUUUAGUAAUAUCAUUUGUUUUGCCUAGGGGAACUUCCUCAUCUUUUCUAUUUGGCAGAAUCAAGCACAUUUCCACAAAUACAUCAUUUUUGAGAAGCUGUUCCAUAUUCCUUCCAGAAAAAUUAUCCCUCUUUGCUACAUUAUGGAUUUUAUUACUAAUUCUCAUAUCAUAGUGUCAUAAUUAGUCUUCGAUAUUUAUUUUCCCUUGCAAUAUAGAAGAUCUUUGAUGAGAAUAUUUUUUUCAUUUUUAUCUUUGCUACUCAACUCAGUGCUCACUAAAUAUUUGUUGAAUUAUAUUGAUUUAAUUUUUGUUGGAUAGUGGGAUAGAUAAAUAUAUGAAAUUCAUCAUGUGUCUUAAAGAAAUUGCUGGAAUAAGAAGAGGCGAGAGCGACCCCCGGACCGACCAAAGCCCACGCGCCGCUGCAUCCCGCGCUCAGCGCCUACGUCCCACCGCCGUCGCCACCAUGCCUAUGAGAAAGGCUGAAGGGGAUGCUAAAGGAGAUAAAGCCAAGGUGAAGGAUGAACCACAGAGAAGAUCUGCGAGGUUGUCUGCUAAACCUGCUCCUCCAGAGCCAGAGCCCAAGCCUAAAAAGGCCCCUGCAAAGAAGGGAGAGAAGGUACCCAAAAGGAAAAAGGGAAAAGCUGAUGCUGGCAGAAAGGGAAUAACCCUGCAGAAAAUGGAGAUGCCAAAACAGACCAGGCACAGAAAGCUGAAGGUGCUGGAGAUGCCAAGUGAAGUGUGUGCAUUUUUGAUAACUGUGUACUUCUGGUGACUGUACAGUUUGAAAUACUUUUUUUUAUCAAGUUUUAUAAAAAUGCAGAAUUUUGUUUUACUUUUUUUUUUUUUUUUAAGCUAUGUUGUUAGCACACAGAACACUUCAUUGUUGUUUUGGGGGAAGAGGCAUAUGUCACUAAUAGACUGUCUCCAAAGCUGGAUUGAUGUGGGGAAACGCCUUUCCCUUCUAGUUUUGAGAGACUUCCUCUUGGCUCCCAGGAGGAGGGAUUCCCUGACUUUGACACACAUGGCCACCUUGGCACACAAAAGCCUUGCGGUAUGGAAAGACAAAUUCAUUUUUAUGUCCUCUUCCCCCUUUCCAUCUUUCAGCAUAGAUUUAACUCCCUUAAGCCCAGACAUCUGUUGGGACCUGACCCCCAGUCAUUGAUUACCAGUGUGUCAGGCAAUCUGGGCUUGCCAGUGAUGCCACUGAGAUGGCACCUGUCAAAAGAGCAGUGAUUCCAUUUCUAGAUUGUGGAUCUUCAGAUAAAUUCUGCUAUUUUCAUUUCACUUCCUGAAAGUCAGGGUCGGCUCGUGAAAAGUUGUUAAACAACAUGCUAAAUGUGAAAUGUCAACCCUCAAUCUAAACUUUCCCUGUUCAGAGCAUCAGAUGAAGAGUUCAUUGGGUUUUAUAGUGGCUUUCUGAUUUUUGGUAGUCCGUCAAAGAAGGGAGUUUGAAAGUUGUUGUAUACUGUUAAUGAUUGUCUGCCCAUGUCCUGCCUGAAAUACCAUGAUUGUUUAUGGAAAGUGUCUUUAAUAAAGCUGGAUACAAUUUGAAAAAAAAAAA